RNAcentral lists this unclassified non-coding RNA (73 nucleotides) under Pseudomonas asplenii. The record is from RNAcentral. Lineage: Bacteria; Pseudomonadati; Pseudomonadota; Gammaproteobacteria; Pseudomonadales; Pseudomonadaceae.
GUAGGAGCCGGGCUUGCCCGCGAAGCUUUUUGGCGUUCUCCAAUACGCAUCCGCGGGCAAGCCCGGCUCCUAC